GCGCGAAAACUUUGCAAUGCGGGAAACCGUGACAAGGGAACUCUGAGUGCCCGUUAAAUCGGGCUGUCCACCGGUUUAAAUAACCGGUGAAGAAAGGGCCGGGCAAGACCGGUGCCAGCCGCCGCGGUAAUACCGGCGGCUCGAGUGGUGGCCACUAUUACUGGGCUUAAAGCGUUCGUAGCUGGUUUGUUAAGUCUCUGGGGGAAAUCUUCCGGCUCAACCGGAAGGCGUCUCAGGGAUACUGGCAGACUGGGGACCGGGAGAGGUGAGAGGUACUCCAGGGGUAGGAGUGAAAUCCUGUAAUCCUUGGGGGACCACCUGUGGCGAAGGCGUCUCACCAGAACGGCUCCGACAGUGAGGGACGAAAGCUGGGGGAGCAAACCGGAUUAGAUACCCGGGUAGUCCCAGCUGUAAACGAUGCGCGUUAGGUGUAUCGGUGACCACGAGUCACCGAGGUGCCGAAGAGAAAUCGUGAAACGUGCCGCCUGGGAAGUACGGUCGCAAGGCUGAAACUUAAAGGAAUUGGCGGGGGUAGCACCACGAACGGGUGGAAGCCUGGCGGUUUAAGUCGGUAA
Molecule: ribosomal RNA, 575 nt
Filed under: uncultured Methanomicrobiales archaeon
Lineage: Archaea; Methanobacteriati; Methanobacteriota; Methanomicrobia; Methanomicrobiales
Description: bacterial SSU rRNA
Rfam family: Archaeal small subunit ribosomal RNA
Source: RNAcentral